CGAACCCGCGCGGGAGAGCUGGCGUCGUCGACGACGACCAGCGCCGAAGGGGCAACCUCCCCGGAACCUCUCAGGCACCAGGACCGCACGGCGCAG
RNAcentral lists this non-coding RNA (96 nucleotides) under Jatrophihabitans endophyticus. Its description in RNAcentral is "Glycine sequence". It matches the Rfam family "Glycine riboswitch aptamer". From Rfam's summary of the family: This family represents the bacterial glycine riboswitch. Glycine riboswitches usually consist of two metabolite-binding aptamers domains with similar structures in tandem. The aptamers cooperatively bind glycine to regulate the expression of downstream genes. Lineage: Bacteria; Bacillati; Actinomycetota; Actinomycetes; Jatrophihabitantales; Jatrophihabitantaceae. The record is from Rfam by way of RNAcentral.